RNAcentral lists this ribosomal RNA (253 nucleotides) under uncultured bacterium. RNAcentral describes it as "partial 16S ribosomal RNA". It matches the Rfam family "Bacterial small subunit ribosomal RNA", at positions 524 to 776 of the family's 1533-position model. The record is from RNAcentral.
UACGGAGGAUGCAAGCGUUAUCCGGAAUUAUUGGGCGUAAAGCGUCCGCAGGUGGCUCAUCAAGUCUGCUGUCAAAGGCAGGGGCUUAACCCCUGAAAGGCAGUGGAAACUGGGGAGCUAGAGUGCAGUAGGGGUAGAGGGAAUUCCCGGUGUAGCGGUGAAAUGCGUAGAGAUCGGGAAGAACAUCGGUGGCGAAAGCGCUCUGCUGGACUGCAACUGACGCUGAUGCACGAAAGCUAGGGGAGCAAACAGG